CAGAUAACAACGGUUUUGGUUUCGUGCUGGCUCUUGUCAGCGUGGUGAUAGCCUUCCGGUUUUGUCUGUUGUAGUUGUGCGUUUGGAGUUCGCUGCACUUCAGGUUGCAACAUCUUUCAAGCGCAAGGUGCAGCGUUGUUAAUCAGCGAGGUACUUUCCCUCCUGCUCCCCUCCACCUCGGAGUUAUCAAGGCCAAGGUUGGCUUUGUGAGACAAGAGCUCGAAGACUUCUUAAACGUUUGAAAGCUUCGUUCGAGUUAUAUUUAGAACUCCUUUAUCGCUGCAACGAAAGUUUGUCGGUAGCUGAGGACUGCUGCUGUGCAUGAACGCAAGGACGCACGUCAAUGUUUUGCCCCGCAACAGCAGAAGGGCUCGCUCUCCUAUAAAAGAGAGGGGGCCCCUCCGUCACACAGCACACAGAACCGCAACAACAUGGCCACUUUCGAAAGAAUGGUUGUCGGUCCCCUACUGCAAGGAACAGUGGCAGCCAUAUUGGCUUGUAUCUUGUCUACAACUCUGCUGGUCCUGUUGGCCGCCGCCGCAAUGCUCGUUUGCACGCUGCUCGCCGCCUCCGCUGCGUUGGUUGUCUCCUUGCUCGUGUUCCUGGCUGUGGUGUGCGGAGUCGUCGCUGCAACGGCGCUGUUUGUGAUCUUCAUCAUAGCGCCGCUCAUUCUGGGAUCGUCUGCAAUUGCGUUGCUUGCUGUCGGUGCACUGUUGAUGAUGUUCUUCGACAUCUCCGCACUACCAUUCAUGAACAGCGCCGACACCGAGGGUCAAGUUGACAUCAAGAAGAUAGAAAACGCUAACAUCGAUCCGGUCGUGAAAGCUGAAAAGAGUGUGAAGUGCCAGUGCGUUUGUGUGCAAGAGUUCAAUGGGUUGGACGACCUCAAAGCUGAUUAGAGUCUCGUAAAAUCCCUCGAACAUUGUGUGAUAAAUGUUUCAUUUUUAACUUUGGUUCAGUCUACGAAGCAGUGGUGUCAUUUCUGGGAUGGCCUUACUGUGAAAGGUUAUUUGAAUCUAUAACAACUGACUGGCAACGAUCAACAAUCUCAAAGUUGGCUAGGGUGUCGUGAGCUCUGUUUUAUGAGUUUAAACCAAAAGCCCACAAAAAAUUGUAUAAUAUUAUCAAUGUUUAUUUACAAUCUGAGGUAGAACAAAUUACAAGAAACAAAAUAUCUAUAAUAGACAUGGUGAAAGGGGUGGUCCGCUUCAUUGAUUGAUUUUCUUUAUAAUUAGUUGCCUUUUUGGUUUCCUUUUUUUUUCUCCUCAUUCGUCAAUUCUUUAGUUAGUUUUAUUUUGCGCGAAUUUUUACAUUGAGUUAUAUCUUCAGGCGGUCCGUUAAAAGUUUAGGUACGUAGUAUUUUCUUGUUGCCUCUCCAUAUUUCGUUUUUAUAUAUGAUUCUACAUAUAUUAUGCUUGGACGUAACAUUCUUUCCUUAACUGUUUCUAUUUUAUGUUUAUUGUAUAAAAAAUGUUUUGUUAUGGAUUCUUCAAUUGAUCACUAAAGCACAACACUCCUAAAUCUUUCUGCAUAAACUUAUCAAAAACAUAUUCUUCACUAUUAUGUCCCACCUUUCUAAGUAUUGUAUUUGGAAGUUUUGAUUUUUAUUUUACAGAUAUUUGGCACAGUACUCGUUAACAGUUAUUGCAUAUUGUAAUACUGGUUUUCCUAAGGAAUUAUAUAUCAUUCGAAGAACAGAACGGAGAACCGUAUCUUGAAUAUGAAACAUGUGCCGUCGGCAUUCUCAACUUCUUGCAUACCUGUUCUACAUGAAUUUUCCAUUUAAGAUGAUGAUCUAUGUACAUUCCAAGAUAUUUUACAUUGUCGACGUAUUCUAGUGUCGGCAAAAAAGCUGUUACAGUUAUUCUCGUGCAUUUUUAUCUAUAUUUCGGUAUGUAUUUUUUUUUCCUUGUGUCUCGGAAGCACGUUACUUGGGUUGUGGGAAAAUUUACGAUUAUUUGAUUUUUACUGUACCAUUGAAAGAAUAUUGAAAAUAUCUUCCUGAACCUCACCUACGGCGCUUGCAGAUUCCUUGCGGGCGUAGACAAUUACCGUAUCAUCAGCAAACUGAAAAAGUUGUUAGUUUGACCUGGGUUAUCUCGUUAACAUAUAAAUUAAAAAGUGAUGGGCCGAGAGUACUGUUCCCUAUGGUACUCUGUGGUUGACUUUAAUUUCUCUACUAUAUUUGGAAGCUAGUCGCACCCUUGGUGUCUACCAAGGAGAGAAAUUUGAAAAAAUAUCAUAUGCCCUCCCCUAAAUCCUUAUGCUAUGUAACCUAUCUAAUACAGAAUGAUUUAUUGUUUUAAAGGCCCUAGAGAAGUCUACAAACAAGGCUACUAUAUAUUUCCCGCUGUCCAUGUUUUCGUACACGUCAAAAAAGUCCUCUAAUAAAUCACAUAUGCCUAUAUGUUUUCUAAACUGAUACUGUAUAUGAAUUACUAUAUUAUGCUUUGUGUUAAAGCUUUAAAAUAUUUUAUUAAUCAAGAGUACACACACUGGUCUAUAAUUAAGAAGUUUGUUUUUCUCACCUUUUUUUUUGUAUAUUGGCCUUACUACAGCUGUUUUAAGUUUUCUAGGAAUGACACCCCUAGAGAAUAUACAAUUGCACAGCUGGAUCAGUACUGGUUUUAACACAUGAAUCUGGUAUUUAAUAUCCUUUGGCCUUAUUUGAUCUAACCCCACUGCUUUAUUCAUUUAAAUUUUUUCCACUAUUUCUAUUCAAUCAUUUUGAGCCGUAUCUGGAAGAAAUAAUGAAUCGCAGAUUUUUAUUUGAUUAUGUUGUCGUUCCCUUGGUCCACUACAAAGAGGUUUGAUUGACUGUACAUUUUCUGUAUUAAAAUCGUUGGCGAGCUUUUCUAUGUCAUAAUUAGGGCCAAAAUUAAUUUCUGUUUAAUCGAUUUUUUCUUUUUUCGUCCUAACAGCUGAUUUACUAAUGACCAACACUGUGCUGCAUCUUUCGUUUCAUAAAACUUGGUUCAAUAAUAUUUUCUUUUCGUGUUUCUUA
Ixodes scapularis (black-legged tick) is the source of this 3004-nucleotide long non-coding RNA. RefSeq lists it as uncharacterized. The transcript has 2 exons. The record is from RefSeq and is a predicted model, not a curated record. NCBI's taxonomy places the organism in Eukaryota, Metazoa, Arthropoda, Arachnida, Ixodida, Ixodidae.